AUUGAACGCUGGCGGCAGGCCUAACACAUGCAAGUCGAGCGGAUGAAGGGAGCUUGCUCCUGGAUUCAGCGGCGGACGGGUGAGUAAUGCCUAGGAAUCUGCCUGGUAGUGGGGGAUAACGUCCGGAAACGGGCGCUAAUACGCAUACGUCCUGAGGGAGAAAGUGGGGGAUCUUCGGACCUCACGCUAUCAGAUGAGCCUAGGUCGGAUUAGCUAGUUGGUGGGGUAAAGGCCUACCAAGGCGACGAUCCGUAACUGGUCAGAGAGGAUGAUCAGUCACACUGGAACUGAGACACGGUCCAGACUCCUACGGGAGGCAGCAGUGGGGAAUAUUGGACAAUGGGCGAAAGCCUGAUCCAGCCAUGCCGCGUGUGUGAAGAAGGUCUUCGGAUUGUAAAGCACUUUAAGUUGGGAGGAAGGGCAGUAAGUUAAUACCUUGCUGUUUUGACGUUACCAACAGAAUAAGCACCGGCUAACUUCGUG
RNAcentral lists this ribosomal RNA (483 nucleotides) under uncultured bacterium. RNAcentral's name for it is "partial 16S ribosomal RNA". It matches the Rfam family "Bacterial small subunit ribosomal RNA", at positions 30 to 507 of the family's 1533-position model. The record is from RNAcentral.